UGCGGGGUAGGGGAGAGGACGUCCCCGCUGGGCUCAUAACCCAGAGAGCGUGGGUUCAAAUCCCACCCCCGCUA
This 74-nucleotide transfer RNA is filed under the name Anaerolineae bacterium. RNAcentral's name for it is "tRNA-Met". It matches the Rfam family "tRNA". Rfam says of the family: Transfer RNA (tRNA) molecules are approximately 80 nucleotides in length. Their secondary structure includes four short double-helical elements and three loops (D, anti-codon, and T loops). Lineage: Bacteria; Bacillati; Chloroflexota; Anaerolineae. The record is from RNAcentral.